Molecule: long non-coding RNA, 1253 nt
Filed under: Vigna radiata
Lineage: Eukaryota; Viridiplantae; Streptophyta; Magnoliopsida; Fabales; Fabaceae
Description: long non-coding RNA (VRAD_LNC016122)
Source: RNAcentral
GGUGUUUCACCAAAGUUUUUUAUUUUUUUUACAAGUCAUUGUAAACAUGUAAAUUGUAAUUUUAUUUCUAAGUGUAAUCAAAAUUAAAAAAAAAAUAGUGAAAACAUUUUACAUUUUGAAAUUUUGUAUAGGGACAUUGAAAACGAAACCCUUUCAAUGACGAAGACAGGUGAAGACGACUAUAUUGGUGAAGAAGAUUGGUGAAAAGUGUUGGGUUCAAUGAUGAAGAUUCUUGAUGAGUGUGAGACCACUACAAUUAAGGUUAUUGUUUUGUGGGUUUAUUUUGAUGUCAAAAUUGGUUUUUUUUUUCGAGGUACUUUGUUGUUCUAUAUUUGCAUUUAUUGUGUGGUUGUGGGUUUUGGUUUCAUUUAGGGUUAUUGUUUAGUUCGAAUGAUUGUUAUAUACAAAUGUAGGACAUGAGUUUCAAUGUAGUCUUUCAUCAGAUAGGGAAGUUCGGAAAGAGUAGAUGGAGGGGAUUUCGUUAUGAGGGUGGAGAGAAACAUUUGGUGUGAGGUGUAGAUCUUGAUAUGUGGUCAUAUUUUGAAGCUUUGGGAAUAAUCAAGAAGUUUAAAUAUGUAGGUGAGAUGAAGCUUUUGGUGUAAGCCAAAGAAAGACAUCAUGGAUAAAGAUUCCAGGCCUCCGACUUUAGAUAGAGAUGAUAUGAAGUUAACUAUGAUGUAAAAGUAAUAAAGAUGAGAUUGAGAUUUAUAUGGAGCAUCUAAUUAGUUGAACUUAGAUAGUUGAAUUCAUUAAAGGUUCCAACAAAUAAGGAGUGAAUGCUAGUGUGCUAAUGAAGAAGAAGAGGUUGUUGAAGGUGCUGAUGGUGGUGAGAAUGAAUAAGAGGUUGUUGAGACUGGUGGGAAUGAAGAAGAAGAGGUUGUCGAGGGUGUUCAUGGUGAUGGGAAUAAAGAAGACGAAGUUGUCAUUAAAUGAAGAAGAAAAGGGUGUUGGUGUUCAUGGUGGUGAGAAUGAAGAAGAUGAGGUUGUCCUGGAUAAUGAGGUGUUGGUUCGUCUGAUACAAACUUGAUGUUGGCAACUAUGAUGAGCUUGAUACUAAUAUGGAUAGUGAUGGUGAUAAUGAUUGUGGUAGAGGGUAGAAAUUUCCUAUGUUUAGAGCUGAAGAUAUGUGCACGAACUUCAAGUUCACAUUGGUUAUGGAGUUUUGUUUGUUGAAGGAGUUUAGUGAACAAUUUAUCUAAGUACUUCAAUAGCACAAUAUUGAUAGCUUAGUAUAAACCAAUAAUUACAAUGAU